AGCGUGGAAAGGUGGUUCUUUUCGUUCGAUGCUUUGUUGGAUGUGGAUCGCAAAUUAAUAUCCAUUUUAAUCCACAACGUAGAAACCUUUAAUACCAUUUAAAUAUGACUGAAACUCUUCAAUUGAGGGGAACACUUCGGGGGCAUAAUGGAUGGGUCACCCAAAUUGCUACAAAUCCAAAAUAUCCGGAUAUGAUAUUGUCUUCCUCACGUGAUAAGACUCUAAUAGUAUGGAAAUUAACACGUGAUGAAGCCAAUUAUGGAAUUCCGCAAAAGCGUUUGUACGGUCACUCUCACUAUAUUAGUGAUGUAGUUCUGUCAUCCGAUGGAAAUUAUGCUCUGUCUGGUUCAUGGGACAAAACUCUUCGUCUGUGGGAUUUGGCUGCAGGACGUACCACAAGAAGAUUUGAAGACCAUACCAAGGUGUGACAUCUUCCUUCUGAUCUACAGUCGCCAUUCUUCAUGAAAUAUAUGGAAGCUUUUUUUUUUCACUUUUUUUUUUGAAUGCCAUGGGCAGAAGAUAAAACUACGUGAGUGAUGGGAUAUAUACGGAAGCUUUUUUUUAUAUAUUUUUUUUUAUCUUUAAUAAAUAGAAGAGGUGGGCAAAUAAGUCUACGAUAUUGAUGUUUUAAGUGUUGCCUUCUCUGUGGAUAAUCGUCAAAUUGUCUCUGGUUCGCGAGACAA
This 683-nucleotide unclassified non-coding RNA is filed under the name Megachile rotundata (alfalfa leafcutting bee). RNAcentral describes it as "guanine nucleotide-binding protein subunit beta-like protein, transcript variant X1". Lineage: Eukaryota; Metazoa; Arthropoda; Insecta; Hymenoptera; Megachilidae. The record is from RNAcentral.